AGCUCCAAUAGCAUAUAUUAAAGUUGUUGCAGUUAAAAAGCUCGUAGUUGGAUUUCUGGCAUGAUGCGCCUGGCCCGCCUCAAAUUUGAGUGUGUGUGCCGGUGCGCGUCUGCCAUCCAUUUGCAGAAUGUGCCUACUCUUCAUUGAGCCGGGUGCGUGAUGUAAAUCUUUUACUUUGAAAAAAUAAGAGUGUUUAAAGCAGGCAUUUGCUAUGAAUACAUUAGCAUGGAAUAAUAAUCUAGGACUUCGGUUCUAUUUUGUUGGUUUCUAGAUCUGAAGUAAUGAUUGAUAGGGAUAGUUAGGGGUGCUAGUAUUAAGGGGCCAGAGGUGAAAUUCUUGGAUUCUCUUAAAACUAACUUAUGCGAAAGCAUUCACCAAGGAUGUCUUCU
RNAcentral lists this ribosomal RNA (389 nucleotides) under uncultured eukaryote. Its description in RNAcentral is "SSU rRNA". It matches the Rfam family "Eukaryotic small subunit ribosomal RNA", at positions 587 to 972 of the family's 1831-position model. The record is from RNAcentral.